UACGUAGGGUGCGAGCGUUGUCCGGAAUUAUUGGGCGUAAAGGGCUCGUAGGCGGUUUGUCGCGUCGGGAGUGAAAUCCACUGGCUUAACUGGUGGCUUGCUUUCGAUACGGGCAGACUGGAGGUAUGCAGGGGAGAACGGAAUUCCUGGUGUAGCGGUGAAAUGCGCAGAUAUCAAGCGGAACACCAGUGGCGAAGGCGAGUCCCUGGACAACUCCUGACACUGAUGCACGAAAGCUAGGGGAGCAAACAGG
This 253-nucleotide ribosomal RNA is filed under the name uncultured bacterium. Its description in RNAcentral is "partial 16S ribosomal RNA". It matches the Rfam family "Bacterial small subunit ribosomal RNA", at positions 524 to 776 of the family's 1533-position model. The record is from RNAcentral.